Molecule: ribosomal RNA, 571 nt
Filed under: uncultured bacterium
Lineage: Bacteria
Description: partial 16S ribosomal RNA
Rfam family: Bacterial small subunit ribosomal RNA
Source: RNAcentral
UGGGGAAUUUGGACAAUGGCGAAAGCCUGAUCCAGCAAUGCCGCGUGUGUGAAGAAGGCCUUCGGGUUGUAAAGCACUUUUGUCCGGAAAGAAAUCCUUGGCUCUAAUACAGUCGGGGGAUGACGGUACCGGAAGAAUAAGCACCGGCUAACUACGUGCCAGCAGCCGCGGUAAUACGUAGGGUGCAAGCGUUAAUCGGAAUUACUGGGCGUAAAGCGUGCGCAGGCGGUUUGCUAAGACCGAUGUGAAAUCCCCGGGCUCAACCUGGGAACUGCAUUGGUGACUGGCAGGCUAGAGUAUGGCAGAGGGGGGUAGAAUUCCACGUGUAGCAGUGAAAUGCGUAGAGAUGUGGAGGAAUACCGAUGGCGAAGGCAGCCCCCUGGGCCAAUACUGACGCUCAUGCACGAAAAGCGUGGGGGAGCAAACAGGAUUAGAUACCCUGGUAGUCCACGCCCUAAACGAUGUCAACUAGUUGUUGGGGAUUCAUUUCCUUAGUAACGUAGCUAACGCGUGAAGUUGACCGCCUGGGGAGUACGGUCGAAGAUUAAAACUUAAAUGAAUUGAACGGGGU